CACUUUCAUGGUUCAGAAAGAUGGUCAGAAAUUGUUAUUGAGAAUGUCUAGUUCUAAACAGAGCUUUGACAAAUUUUAGAUGAUGAAUGUCAAUCCAUCAAUUUUAUUGGGAAUUUCAAAGUUCGUUUAGCGUGGUUUGUUUUCAUAAGAAAGGAACUUGGGAGUUAUUAAAUCCAAUAUAACUUGAAAAGCUUUAAUAUUUUUACUGUUAAUGCUUAUAUGGAUUUUAAAAACUGCCUAAAACCACCAAUGUGAUUUCUUUAAUGGUAUGAAGUAUAUUCCUUCCUGACGUGUGGGAUUUUACCGAUUUUACCUUACAAAAUCGAUUAUAAGAGAGUACACCUUGCUUUCUUACCUCAAGAAAGUUACAUUCAUUUCUGAAGCAGGCUGGAGGAAUGAAAAGCUUUUUCCAACUACCUCAUGAAGUCUCCAGGCCAUGUGUCAUUUAUUAUGUCAUGAAUGUUUUUAGAAAUUCAGCAUGCUCGAAAGAAUCUAAAUCAAAAUGGGCGGGAUUCCCCGGAACGAGCACAAGCCAGCGGACCAGCUUGUGAGGCAUAAUGCAAUUUUGAUGUUGUGUAAGCGCUGCUCUUAGCCCAUCAUCUAUGCUAAUUAAGUUAAUUAAAAAGUACCAGCAAAGUAUUUGCACUUGGCCAACUUCACGUCAUAAUCAAAGUGGAGGCGGCGGCGCAUCGAAUGGAAAAUGAAGCCCAAGUCAUGUCAAAUGCUCUUAAAAAGCCAAAGCAUCCCCUUCCUCCAGAGAUGCUGGAUAUGAAGAUGACGAUGAUGAGGGAAACGGAGGUGGAGAUGGAGGAGGAGGAGGAGCUGUUGCCGGGGAUGACUAUGUUGCCAUCCACAGAGUGAAGUGUCUUUAUUUAAAAAUGAAGAGACCUGAGACCAAAAAACGGGGCCAAUUAUAAGCUACGUCAUUAAUUUGAAUAAAAUUCCUAAUUCUCCCAAACACACACAAAAUGAAAAUGCCACAAAAGAAAUGUGCCACAAGAAGAAAAAUAUGUCCAAAACGGAAAAUAACGGGGGCCGAAUGACAGCAGACGGUGGCAAAUAAAACAUUUAGGCGGAAUUAUAAUUUUACUUUGCUUAUUUAUAAUUUACGUUUAAAAUGUGAAACACCUGACAGCUAAAGAGAAUUUAUGUUUGCAUGUUUUCCAUUAAUUUAUUUUUCCGAGGCGCACCCCUCCCAAGAAAACUGCCAAGACAGCUCCACAGCUCCAGCCUCGAAUUGCACGAAAAUGCACAGCAGGAGGGUGCUCCCGCGGGCAGAAGGCAUCGGGAGGAGCCAGAAGACGGGCACAUUUCGCUAUCACGUUUGGACUAUAAAACAGGCCAGCCCCGGCCACACAGUUGAAGCCCAAGCCCAAGCCCCAGUCCCAGUUCCAGUCCCCGAAACACACUGAUGAUGUUGUUGAUGACGUGGAGCGCCUAGCGAGUGCAUAGCUCCGCCGAAAAUGGCAAUCGGGCAACCCAAGACACUGGUCCCGACCAGAAAGCAGGAGCUUCACACUCGAAGAAACAAGACACUCGAAAUGGGAGCUUGAUUCAUAUACGGGAUAGAAUGUAUAUAUCAUACAGCACAUAGAAUUCUCCUUCAAAAACGGGGACCAAAAUACGGAAUCAAAGUUUUCCAGCGAGUGUAAUAACUUGUAUUUGAAUUUAAAUAAGUGGCAAAAGCAUUAUGUUCAAAUAAGGAACGUACUGUGAUAAAAAUGGCUUAUUUUUCCGAGUGUACAGCUGGCACAGACACAAAGACAGCAGAAGACGGAGACGUCUCGACGCAGUGCAAAAACUUGUCAAGUAAAUAUAAACGAAAUGUGUGGCACGGCACCCGGCCGGGCCAAAAGACGCAGACGCUAUAGCAGCAGAAGCAGCCGAAGCAGCAGCAACACACAUAAAAAAUAUUUUUAUGCAAAAUUUUUAUGAUUUCCGUCUGGUUGCGACAGCGGCAUGGGCACAAAGAGACUUCGAGGCACACAAGCCGGCCCAAUUCUGAUUCUGAAGCCGAUUCCGAUCGCAAUUGCGAUUGCGAUGGUCCAAGCCAUCUCCUUCACCUGGUUUCAAUUAAAAGACACUUUUCUUUUA
Long non-coding RNA from Drosophila yakuba, 2094 nucleotides. RefSeq lists it as uncharacterized. The record is from RefSeq and is a predicted model, not a curated record. The transcript has 2 exons. NCBI's taxonomy places the organism in Eukaryota, Metazoa, Arthropoda, Insecta, Diptera, Drosophilidae.